UACAGAGGGGGCAAGCGUUGUUCGGAAUUACUGGGCGUAAAGGGCGCGUAGGCGGCCAACUAAGUCGGACGUGAAAUCCCCUGGCUCAACCAGGGAACUGCGUCCGAGACUGGCUGGCUGGAAUCCGGGAGAGGGAUGUGGAAUUCCAGGUGUAGCGGUGAAAUGCGUAGAUAUCUGGAGGAACACCGGUGGCGAAGGCGGCAUCCUGGACCGGUAUUGACGCUGAGGCGCGAAAGCCAGGGGAGCAAACGGG
Molecule: ribosomal RNA, 253 nt
Filed under: uncultured bacterium
Lineage: Bacteria
Description: partial 16S ribosomal RNA
Rfam family: Bacterial small subunit ribosomal RNA
Source: RNAcentral